RNAcentral lists this ribosomal RNA (692 nucleotides) under uncultured bacterium. RNAcentral's name for it is "bacterial SSU rRNA". It matches the Rfam family "Bacterial small subunit ribosomal RNA", at positions 57 to 751 of the family's 1533-position model. The record is from RNAcentral.
GCAGUCGAGGGGUAUUGUUCUUCGGAAUGAGAGACCGGCGCACGGGUGCGUAACGCGUAUGCAAUCUACCUUUCACAGAGGGAUAGCCCAGAGAAAUUUGGAUUAAUACCUCAUAGUAUAGUAUAACCGCAUGGUUGAACUAUUAAAGUCACAACGGUGAAAGAUGAGCAUGCGUCCCAUUAGCUUGUUGGUAAGGUAACGGCUUACCAAGGCAACGAUGGGUAGGGGUCCUGAGAGGGAGAUCCCCCACACUGGUACUGAGACACGGACCAGACUCCUACGGGAGGCAGCAGUGAGGAAUAUUGGACAAUGGGCGCAAGCCUGAUCCAGCCAUGCCGCGUGCAGGAUGACGGUCCUAUGGAUUGUAAACUGCUUUUGCACAGGAAGAAACACUCGGACGUGUCCGAGCUUGACGGUACUGUGAGAAUAAGGAUCGGCUAACUCCGUGCCAGCAGCCGCGGUAAUACGGAGGAUCCAAGCGUUAUCCGGAAUCAUUGGGUUUAAAGGGUCCGUAGGCGGUUUGGUAAGUCAGUGGUGAAAGCCCAUCGCUCAACGGUGGAACGGCCAUUGAUACUGCUAGACUUGAAUUAUUAGGAAGUAACUAGAAUAUGUAGUGUAGCGGUGAAAUGCUUAGAGAUUACAUGGAAUACCAAUUGCGAAGGCAGGUUACUACUAAUGGAUUGACGCUGAUG